GACUCUGUAAUACUCUCCUUUCUCAUCUUUACUUCUUAGUUUCACUGGUUUCCUCCAAGACUCAUCUUAGACCUCACCUUCGAAAGGAAGUCUUUUGUAGUUCCCCUCAGCCAGCAAACCCUUCAGCCUGAAGUUCUCAACUCUCUGGACUUUCAUCUAUCACCAGAUUCAAAUUUAUCUCUUAAUAUGCACAAGGUCCUGGAGACAAAAAGAAAUAACAGCCUUUUCACGAAGGAACCUGCAUUCUAAUGAAGGAUAUUACAUGUCACCAGUGAUAAGAUGUGAUGUGCUGGAAAGAAUGCUGAAUUUGGAAGAAGUCCUGUGUUCAAAUCUCAAGCUCUGCUAUAUAUUACUUGUGUUACUUUGGAUAAGGAAGUAAAAAAUAAUAGGGAAAAUAUGACUUCGUCAAAGUCACACGAUGGACCAGGGACAUAGAUGAGGACAGGAUCCGAAUCUCCUGGCAAUUAGAUUUGCUCUUCUUCCAUUUCAUCAUAUUCUGUACAUUCUGAGCACUACCACUUUGGACCAAAAUUAUUCAGCUUUCAGAGAAAAUCAAGAAGAAAAAUGAGAUUUUACCAUGGCUACCCCUUCUAAUUGCAUAGUGAGAAGGGCUAGGUUUCUCACAUUGCCAACUUCAUAGGUGAUGUCUGCAGGCUAUCCACCAGCCCAGGACCAGAAUUCUAAAUACUAUAAGUCUUGACAUAGUUUUUGUGAUGGUGAUGAUGAUGAAGAUGACGAUGACAAUGAGGACAGCUCCUUUUAGAAAUCAUUCUAAGUUUACAAAGCAUUUUGAUUACAAUGGCCUUUCAAGGUGGGUGGUAUAGUUCAGUAUCACUUUUUUAUGUCACUCACACUAUCCACUGACUUUCCCUCUCAUUUUAGAAUGUCUUCCCUCUGGUAACAAAUAAAUACAAUUCAGCAAAACA
RNAcentral lists this long non-coding RNA (926 nucleotides) under Monodelphis domestica (gray short-tailed opossum). Its description in RNAcentral is "lncRNA (ENSMODG00000030688.2)". The record is from RNAcentral. Lineage: Eukaryota; Metazoa; Chordata; Mammalia; Didelphimorphia; Didelphidae.